Sitophilus oryzae (rice weevil) is the source of this 2463-nucleotide long non-coding RNA. RefSeq lists it as uncharacterized. The transcript has 2 exons. Lineage: Eukaryota; Metazoa; Arthropoda; Insecta; Coleoptera; Curculionidae. The record is from RefSeq and is a predicted model, not a curated record.
UUUUUUUUAUAUUUCGCAUACAUAGCAUGACCAGAACCACCGUCGGCACCACAACCAACACCACCAGUGGUGGAUAUUUGGAGAGAUAAGGUCGGCCCCAUCUAUCUAAUAAUAUGGGCCGAUCCCGAAGCAAGGGUAGUGUUUAUUUACUACACAAACAAUUAAUUAUUAUUAAUAAAUGAUUAUAAACAGAAAAAGUAUUGAGGUAAACACCUCAAUACUUUUAAAGAAAACUCUUUAGAUAGUCCAUAAUUUAGAGAGAAACUAAAAUAGUUACAUUUAAUUUUUAUUUCAGAAAAAAAAUGCAAAGUUUUAAAAUAAACAUUUGUUUUAAAGCCUAUCAGUGCGAAUCAAGAUGGCCCAACAGCAAGAAAAUAGUGUAUUAGUAGGUUCUGGCUUAAACGAAGAAAAACGGUUAAACCCUAACCAAAUGGUAAUAAAUGUAUUAUAUCCCACUAUGAACAUUCCUAACGUUGAUGGGAAAUAUGGGAAACAAACAGGUUGAACUAAAGAAUGGUAUGUUGGUGGCGCUCCCCAAGCGGAUGGCUUUAAGCAAUGAAACCAGUGAGAGUAUUUUUCCUAAACAAAAAGCCCUCGUGUGUCGGAGGCAUAAAUACAUUGAAAAAUACAAUGUUUCUUGCCCUCUGCUGCAGAUUGUAGAAGGAGUGGUAAGUUUAUUUUCUUUAAUUCGCUUCUAAGCCUAUUAUUUAAUAAAACUCUACCACUAUCUUUUGCUUUUGAAGUAUUGAAGCCUGGCCGGAGAGUACAGAAUUUUGCUACACGUGUAAAAAAUAUUUUUUGUUUCUGUCAAGAAUCCCUCCAAGCACAUUUUUAUAUUGAGAAAACCACAACAUGUUUGUUAUGCUGUGAAACUAUAUUUGAAUCACCCUCAUAAUUUCCAAGAUAUGUUUUUUAAUUUUUUAUAUUGUUAGCAAGGUGUUUAUGUUGAGCUGUUGGAUUGGUAAAUCCCUGAUAUCCCAUAAAAAAUGGAAAAAUGGAAUAUAGUAACCAUAAAAAAUGGAACCAGAAGUAUUUAGAACAGAAUUAUAUAUUUGUAGUGGUUGUAAAAAAAAUAACAAAAUCAUUAUGGAGAAAGGAUGGCUGUAUAAGUCCAAGUUUCUGAAGUUUUGUCCAUUUUGUUCAGAUUAUAAAAUAUUCAGAUUUGAAUGCGUCAAAUGACUGAAAAUGAACAGGAUGGUAUCCUAUAUUAAUGAUAAUAGAUGUCCUUUUUAUCCCAUUGCGGAUAUUGUUAACGUAGAAGGAAACUUUGGCCGACCAUACCAAAUUUGAAUUAAAUAGUGGUCUACCUACGAAAGAGGAUGACUCUGAGAUAUUUUUUUUUUGUUAAGAGAUAUUUUUUCUGUGUUUCAAACAAUUAAAAACCAAAAAGAAAUGGAAAAGUUACACACAGUAUCAGUAGAUGUAAAUACAAACCAAGAAUAUCACUGGAAACGUUGAAAAUCAACGAAAAAUAUAAGGUUAUAAAAUUUGUAUUUAUAACCUUGUAUUAUUAAAACUGGGUAAUACACUAAAUAUUUAGGAAAGAAGACGAUCGGUGGUUUGACCCUACAUUGACUACAUUAAGAUGGUCGUUGAUGUUCUAUACCCUAUUAACGAUAUAAUCACUAUUGAUUAUUGGCCCUUACGGGAAACAAACCAAGGUAAAGUUGAGAAGUGGUAUGGUUGUAUACCUACCAAAGAGGAUGACCUUAACACUUUUUUGUUAUUAUAAAAGAGGCUUUUUUAUUAUUAUAAAAGAAGAAAGUUUUCGUCGGAACAGUUGCAGCUUAGUACGUACUAGGUAGUUAUUAGAGUUCCUAUGCGAAGGCAGCUAAUAACUGACAGCUAACAGUUUUGUUUUAUUUAAUAAAGCUCUAUCACUGUCUUUUGCUUCAUAAUCAUUGAAGCCUGGCCAGAGAGUACACAACUGUGUUAUACGUGUAAGCAAUAUUUUUAUUUUUGUCAAGAGUUCCUCCGAGAAAAAAUAUAUUUAGGUUUGCUUCAUCAAGUAAGAGUUGAAGUAUUUUUACUCUUCAUUUUUUUCUGUGUUUCAAACAAUUAAAAACCAAAUAAAAAUGGAAAAAUUACACAGUAUCAGUGGAUGUGAAUACAAACCAAAAAUAUCACUGGAAACGUAGAAAAGCAACGAAAAAUAUAAGGUUAUAAAUUUUGUAGUUAUAACCUUGUAUUAUUCAAACUUGGUGAUGAUACAUUAGAUAUUUAGGAAAGAAGACGAUCGGUGGUUUGACCCUACAUUGACUACAUUAAGAUGGUCGUUGAUGUUCUAUACCCUAUUAACGAUAUAAUCACUAUUGAGGGCCCUUACGGAACACAAACCAAGGUAGAGUUGAGAAGUGGUAUGGUUGUAUACCUACCAAAGAGGAUGACCUUAACACUUUUUUGUUAUUAUAAAAGGGGCUUUUUUAUUAUUAUAAAAGAAGAAAGUUUUCGUCGGAACAGUUG